AGAGUUUGAUCAUGGCUCAGAUUGAACGCUGGCGGCAGGCCUAACACAUGCAAGUCGAGCGGAAACGAGUUAUCUGAACCUUCGGGGAACGAUAAUGGCGUCGAGCGGCGGACGGGUGAGUAAUGCCUAGGAAAUUGCCCUGAUGUGGGGGAUAGCCAUUGGAAACGAUGGCUAAUACCGCAUAACGCCUACGGGCCAAAGAGGGGGACCUUCGGGCCUCUCGCGUCAGGAUAUGCCUAGGUGGGAUUAGCUAGUUGGUGAGGUAAUGGCUCACCAAGGCGACGAUCCCUAGCUGGUCUGAGAGGAUGAUCAGCCGCACUGGAACUGAGACACGGUCCAGACUCCUACGGGAGGCAGCAGUGGGGAAUAUUGCACAAUGGGCGCAAGCCUGAUGCAGCCAUGCCGCGUGUGUGAAGAAGGCCUUCGGGUUGUAAAGCACUUUCAGUCGUGAGGAAGGUAGUGUAGUUAAUAGCUGCAUUAUUUGACGUUAGCGACAGAAGAAGCACCGGCUAAUUCCGUGCCAGCAGCCGCGGUAAUACGGAGGGUGCGAGCGUUAAUCGGAAUUACUGGGCGUAAAGCGCAUGCAGGUGGUUUGUUAAGUCAGAUGUGAAAGCCCGGGGCUCAACCUCGGAAUAGCAUUUGAAACUGGCAGACUAGAGUACUGUAGAGGGGGGUAGAAUUUCAGGUGUAGCGGUGAAAUGCGUAGAGAUCUGAAGGAAUACCGGUGGCGAAGGCGGCCCCCUGGACAGAUACUGACACUCAGAUGCGAAAGCGUGGGGAGCAAACAGGAUUAGAUACCCUGGUAGUCCACGCCGUAAACGAUGUCUACUUGGAGGUUGUGGCCUUGAGCCGUGGCUUUCGGAGCUAACGCGUUAAGUAGACCGCCUGGGGAGUACGGUCGCAAGAUUAAAACUCAAAUGAAUUGACGGGGGCCCGCACAAGCGGUGGAGCAUGUGGUUUAAUUCGAUGCAACGCGAAGAACCUUACCUACUCUUGACAUCCAGAGAACUUUCCAGAGAUGGAUUGGUGCCUUCGGGAACUCUGAGACAGGUGCUGCAUGGCUGUCGUCAGCUCGUGUUGUGAAAUGUUGGGUUAAGUCCCGCAACGAGCGCAACCCUUAUCCUUGUUUGCCAGCGAGUAAUGUCGGGAACUCCAGGGAGACUGCCGGUGAUAAACCGGAGGAAGGUGGGGACGACGUCAAGUCAUCAUGGCCCUUACGAGUAGGGCUACACACGUGCUACAAUGGCGCAUACAGAGGGCAGCAAGCUAGCGAUAGUGAGCGAAUCCCAAAAAGUGCGUCGUAGUCCGGGUUGGAGUCUGCAACUCGACUCCAUGAAGUCGGAAUCGCUAGUAAUCGUGGAUCAGAAUGCCACGGUGAAUACGUUCCCGGGCCUUGUACACACCGCCC
This 1408-nucleotide ribosomal RNA is filed under the name uncultured Vibrio sp. Its description in RNAcentral is "bacterial SSU rRNA". It matches the Rfam family "Bacterial small subunit ribosomal RNA". Lineage: Bacteria; Pseudomonadati; Pseudomonadota; Gammaproteobacteria; Vibrionales; Vibrionaceae. The record is from RNAcentral.